This 611-nucleotide ribosomal RNA is filed under the name uncultured bacterium. RNAcentral's name for it is "bacterial SSU rRNA". The stretch from base 1 to 540 matches the Rfam family "Bacterial small subunit ribosomal RNA", at positions 338 to 873 of the family's 1533-position model. The record is from RNAcentral.
CCUACGGGAGGCAGCAGUGGGGAAUUUUGGACAAUGGGCGCAAGCCUGAUCCAGCAAUGCCGCGUGCAGGAUGAAGGCCUUCGGGUUGUAAACUGCUUUUGUACGGAACGAAACGGUGAGCUCUAAUACAGUUUGCUAAUGACGGUACCGUAAGAAUAAGCACCGGCUAACUACGUGCCAGCAGCCGCGGUAAUACGUAGGGUGCGAGCGUUAAUCGGAAUUACUGGGCGUAAAGCGUGCGCAGGCGGUGAUGUAAGACAGAUGUGAAAUGCCCGGGCUCAACCUGGGACCUGCAUUGUGACUGCAUCGCUAGAGUACGGUAGAGGGGGAUGGAAUUCCGCGUGUAGCAGUGAAAUGCGUAGAUAUGCGGAGGAACACCGAUGGCGAAGGCAACCCCCUGGACCUGUACUGACGCUCAUGCACGGAAGCGUGGGGAGCAAACAGGAUUAGAUACCCUGGUAGUCCACGCCCUAAACGAUGUCAACUGGUUGUUGGGUCUUCACUGACUCAGUAACGAAGCUAACGCGNGAGUGUAACGCCGUGGAGGACGGCGCGAGUAGAAGUUAAGUUAGAGUUAGAGNGNGAGAGNGCGAGNGACGACGAGGAGGAGG